UGUUCUAUGUCUACCGAAGUCAAGCAGC
Molecule: small RNA, 28 nt
Filed under: Bombyx mori (domestic silkworm)
Lineage: Eukaryota; Metazoa; Arthropoda; Insecta; Lepidoptera; Bombycidae
Description: ovarian small RNA-2322
Source: RNAcentral